GAUGAAGAACGUAGCGAAAUGCGAUAAGUAAUGUGAAUUGCAGAAUUCAGUGAAUCAUCGAAUCUUUGAACGCACAUUGCGCCCCUUGGUAUUCCGAGGGGCAUGCCUGUUCGAGCGUCAUUAUAACCCCUCAAGCUCAGCUUGGUGUUGGGGCCUGCUGCACUGGCAGCCCUUAAAAUCAGUGGCGGCGCCAUCUGGCUCUAAGCGUAGUAAUUCUUCUCGCUAUGGGGUCCUGGUGGAUGCUUGCCAUCAACCCCCAAUUUUUCUAUGGUUGACCUCGGAUCAGGUAGGGAUACCCGCUGAACUUAAGCAUAUCAAUAAGCGGGG
Molecule: unclassified non-coding RNA, 327 nt
Filed under: soil metagenome
Description: partial contains 5.8S ribosomal RNA, internal transcribed spacer 2, and large subunit ribosomal RNA
Rfam family: 5.8S ribosomal RNA (bases 1-120)
Source: RNAcentral